RNAcentral lists this ribosomal RNA (361 nucleotides) under uncultured Desulfobulbus sp. RNAcentral's name for it is "bacterial SSU rRNA". It matches the Rfam family "Bacterial small subunit ribosomal RNA", at positions 1024 to 1382 of the family's 1533-position model. The record is from RNAcentral. Lineage: Bacteria; Pseudomonadati; Thermodesulfobacteriota; Desulfobulbia; Desulfobulbales; Desulfobulbaceae.
GAAUCUGGAGACAGGUGCUGCAUGGCUGUCGUCAGCUCGUGUCGUGAGAUGUUGGGUUAAGUCCCGCAACGAGCGCAACCCUUGCCUUUAGUUGCCAGCAGUUCGGCUGGGCACUCUAAAGGGACUGCCGGUGUUAAACCGGAGGAAGGUGGGGAUGACGGUCAAGUCCUCAUGGCCUUUAUGACCAGGGCUACACACGUACUACAAUGGCCGAUACAAAGGGCAGCGACACUGCGAGGUGAAGCCAAUCCCGUAAAAUCGGUACUCAGUCCGGAUUGGAGUCUGCAACUCGACUCCAUGAAGUUGGAAUCGCUAGUAAUCGUGGAUCAGCAUGCCACGGUGAAUACGUUCCCGGGCCGUU